UCACUAAGAGAUGGUCCCGCGGUGCAUUAGCUAGUUGGUAAGGUAAUGGCUUACCAAGGCGAUGAUGCAUAGCCGAGUUGAGAGACUGAUCGGCCACAAUGGGACUGAGACACGGCCCAUACUCCUACGGGAGGCAGCAGUAGGGAAUCUUCCACAAUGGGCGAAAGCCUGAUGGAGCAACGCCGCGUGUGUGAUGAAGGGUUUCGGCUCGUAAAACACUGUUGUAAGAGAAGAAUGACAUUGAGAGUAACUGUUCAAUGUGUGACGGUAUCUUACCAGAAAGGAACGGCUAAAUACGUG
RNAcentral lists this ribosomal RNA (300 nucleotides) under uncultured bacterium. RNAcentral describes it as "bacterial SSU rRNA". It matches the Rfam family "Bacterial small subunit ribosomal RNA", at positions 215 to 507 of the family's 1533-position model. The record is from RNAcentral.